AUUGAACGCUGGCGGCAGGCCUAACACAUGCAAGUCGAGCGGAGCGGCGGACGGGUGAGUAAUGCCUAGGAAUCUGCCUGGUAGUGGGGGAUAACGUCCGGAACCGGGCGCUAAUACCGCAUACUAUCGGAUGUGCCCAGAUCGGAUUAGCUAGUAGGUGGGGUAACGGCUCACCUAGGCGACGAUCCCUAGCUGGUCUGAGAGGAUGACCAGCCACACUGGAACUGAGACACGGUCCAGACUCCUACGGGAGGCAGCAGUGGGGAAUAUUGGACAAUGGGCGAAAGCCUGAUGCAGCCAUGCCGCGUGUAUGAAGAAGGCCUUCGGGUUGUAAAGUACUUUCAGCGAGGAGGCGUUACCCGCAGAAGAAGCACCGGCUAACUCCGUGCCAGCAGCCGCGGUAAUAC
This 407-nucleotide ribosomal RNA is filed under the name uncultured bacterium. RNAcentral describes it as "partial 16S ribosomal RNA". It matches the Rfam family "Bacterial small subunit ribosomal RNA", at positions 30 to 526 of the family's 1533-position model. The record is from RNAcentral.